UGUACGAACAAGUGGCUGUCGGU
RNAcentral lists this microRNA (23 nucleotides) under Euprymna scolopes. RNAcentral's name for it is "Esc-Mir-12532-v3_5p (mature (guide))". Lineage: Eukaryota; Metazoa; Mollusca; Cephalopoda; Sepiida; Sepiolidae. The record is from RNAcentral.